AGCUUACGUAUUGUUUUCAAUAUAUUUUACAUAAACACACACAUUUCAAGUUUUAAAUUUAGAAACAAUUUAUCAAAAGUGGACUUCUGCAUCAUAUUUCUCUCGUUAAAUAAAUUGGCUUUGAAAAUGUGGCUUAGAUAAGUUUUUGUUGUAUAGACAUAUCGGCACUUCGAUUGUUGAUAAAUAAUAUAAAUGAUUUAUUUUUUGCUUGUAGAGAAUUAUACGAAAAUCACGAACAAAAGGUGAAUGAAAAUACAAGCGAAACAGUUAACUUGUUUCGAAUUCGUCAAGUGCGAGUAUUUUGAGCACGCCUUCUUUGAUUCGAAUCGAAACUCAAGUAGCCAAGUAUUGGCCGGGCCAAAAGCUUUCCCUUCACUUUUGCUUUUCGCUGGCAUUGCACUUUGUCAACACUUUUGGCCACUUGAGCAUGAGAAUUGUUUGGCCAGCAACACAUGGGGAUGUAGCUCAGAUGGUAGAGCGCUCGCUUAGCAUGUGAGAGGUACGGGGAUCGAUGCCCCGCAUCUCCAAGUUGUACAAUAUCCAGGAAAAUGGAAUUUUUUGCUACCGCCGAUAGACGAAACAAAUACGCAGACGUCUGCAUUUUUGAUAGUCAAGAAGCAGGCGCAUUAAUGAAUAUUCAAAGGUCGCUUUGUAACUGCCAAACGACUUUGGCAUUAGAUGCUGCCUACCAGACUGCACGCCCCCGUGCGGCGCCCUCAUGUCGACAAUCAGGUCGCGUAAUUUGAUUUGGUGCUCAUUCCAAAGGGCGGUGCGGGCAACACACGGAGAACAGAACGAACACAUUGUCGCACAUAAAUCAGGCACAAUAUGCCAAUGUUUGUUUACUCGCCUGCAUUCGCAGAACUUUGCCAGCAAUUAAACAAGCAGCCAAAGCCAGAAACAUGGUCCCAGGACGAACAGCAGUAUGGGGGAGAAGGCGGUUGGCUGCCACAGGCAGCCGCAGGCGACAGCACACAGGAAACAGAGUAAACUCAGGGGUCCACGGAAAGGACAGGUUUGGGUAUUGACAAACUUUUCUUCCCUGACGACUGCUAAGCUAAGCUAGUUAAGCUGUUGCUGUCCUCUUCUCAAAAUUUAUGUGUUUUGCUAUUUUUUUUUAAUUGUUUUAAGUGUUUUGUUAUGUUGUGGAUGUUUUCUUUUUAUUAUU
Non-coding RNA from Drosophila virilis, 1168 nucleotides. The record is from RefSeq and is a predicted model, not a curated record. NCBI's taxonomy places the organism in Eukaryota, Metazoa, Arthropoda, Insecta, Diptera, Drosophilidae.